UACAUCACUUGACAGACUGAUUUAAAGUC
Molecule: small RNA, 29 nt
Filed under: Bombyx mori (domestic silkworm)
Lineage: Eukaryota; Metazoa; Arthropoda; Insecta; Lepidoptera; Bombycidae
Description: ovarian small RNA-20386
Source: RNAcentral